AGUGAACGCUGGCGGUAGGCCUAACACAUGCAAGUCGAACGGCAGCACAGUAAGAGCUUGCUCUUACGGGUGGCGAGUGGCGGACGGGUGAGGAAUACAUCGGAAUCUACUUUUUCGUGGGGGAUAACGUAGGGAAACUUACGCUAAUACCGCAUACGACCUACGGGUUAAAGCAGGGGAUCUUCGGACCUUGCGCGAUUGAAUGAGCCGAUGUCGGAUUAGCUAGUUGGCGGGGUAAAGGCCCACCAAGGCGACGAUCCGUAGCUGGUCUGAGAGGAUGAUCAGCCACACUGGAACUGAGACACGGUCCAGACUCCUACGGGAGGCAGCAGUGGGGAAUAUUGGACAAUGGGCGCAAGCCUGAUCCAGCAAUACCGCGUGGGUGAAGAAGGCCUUCGGGUUGUAAAGCCCUUUUGUUGGGAAAGAAAAGAAGCAGGUGAAUACCCCGAUGUUCUGACGGUACCCAAAGAAUAAGCACCGGCUAACUUCGUG
RNAcentral lists this ribosomal RNA (492 nucleotides) under uncultured bacterium. RNAcentral's name for it is "partial 16S ribosomal RNA". It matches the Rfam family "Bacterial small subunit ribosomal RNA", at positions 29 to 507 of the family's 1533-position model. The record is from RNAcentral.